GGGGAAUUUUGGACAAUGGGCGAAAGCCUGAUCCAGCAAUGCCGCGUGCAGGAUGAAGGCCUUCGGGUUGUAAACUGCUUUUGUACGGAACGAAAAAGCUCCUUCUAAUACAGGGGGCCCAUGACGGUACCGUAAGAAUAAGCACCGGCUAACUACGUGCCAGCAGCCGCGGUAAUACGUAGGGUGCGAGCGUUAAUCGGAAUUACUGGGCGUAAAGCGUGCGCAGGCGGUUAUGUAAGACAGAUGUGAAAUCCCCGGGCUCAACCUGGGAACUGCAUUUGUGACUGCAUGGCUAGAGUACGGUAGAGGGGGAUGGAAUUCCGCGUGUAGCAGUGAAAUGCGUAGAUAUGCGGAGGAACACCGAUGGCGAAGGCAAUCCCCUGGACCUGUACUGACGCUCAUGCACGAAAGCGUGGGGAGCAAACAGGAUUAGAUACCCUGGUAGUCCACGCCCUAAACGAUGUCAACUGGUUGUUGGGAAUUAGUUUUCUCAGUAACGAAGCUAACGCGUGAAGUUGACCGCCUGGGGAGUACGGCCGCAAGGUUGAAACUCAAAGG
RNAcentral lists this ribosomal RNA (558 nucleotides) under Delftia tsuruhatensis. RNAcentral describes it as "bacterial SSU rRNA". It matches the Rfam family "Bacterial small subunit ribosomal RNA", at positions 356 to 907 of the family's 1533-position model. The record is from RNAcentral. Lineage: Bacteria; Pseudomonadati; Pseudomonadota; Betaproteobacteria; Burkholderiales; Comamonadaceae.